This 419-nucleotide long non-coding RNA is filed under the name Panax ginseng (ginseng). Its description in RNAcentral is "long non-coding RNA (PGIN_LNC004495)". Lineage: Eukaryota; Viridiplantae; Streptophyta; Magnoliopsida; Apiales; Araliaceae. The record is from RNAcentral.
ACUGAUAAAGUGAAGGUGGAGGAAGGAUGAGACUAAGGACUUGAUCCAAGUUCAACUCCUCACUUGCCACUAUUUUAUUAUUAUUAUUAUUAUUAUUAUUGGAUAAAGACAACAUGAAGAUGAUGAUAAGAAGUGAUAAGGUAAGGUUUGUUCUGUUUCUGUGGAAGUGAUGAAUACAGCUUUGUCCACGUUGCGUAUGUUUUGGGGAAGUUCUGUUAUAUAUAUAUAUAUAUACACACGCGGACGGAGUCCGUGGCUUUUAACGCACGGUGAUAUUUAUUUUAAAUUUUAAAUAGUCCAAAUAAUUUAUUGAAUGAGCGAUAAAUUCAAAAUUAUUUAUAUUUUAUUAGAUAGAUAGAUAUAUAAUCUGUAGAUAACAAUUUUAAUAUAGAUUACGUUGCACGUAAUCACAUAACUUA